AACGCCGGCUCUUUGGCUUAGAAAUGGAGAUGAGCACCAACCCCCAGAGUUGGACACGAAUAGACUUAAUAAAUGGAGAUGAGCACCAACCCCCAGAGUGUGAGUAGAUCAAUAGGUGCCGCUCCGGCGGGAAGGUAACGGCGCUCCAUGCAGUCAUGCCAGUGGCCACAUGAGCUUGGAGGUGUCUAUGGACAAAGCCGGCUCUUUGGCUUAGAAAUGGAGAUGAGCACCAACCCCCAGAGUGUGAGUAGAUCAAUAGGUGCCGCUCCGGCGGGAAGGUAACGGCGGUCCAUGCAGUCAUGCCAGUGGCCACAUGACGUUGGAGGUGUCUAUGGACAAAGCCGGCUCUUUGGCUUAGAAAUGGAGAUGAGCACCAACCCCCAGAGUGUGAGUAGAUAAAUAGGUACUGCUCCGGCAGGAAGGUAACGGCACUCCAUGAAGUCAUGCCAGUGGCCACAUGAGCUUGGAGGUGUCUAUGGACAACGCCGGCUCUUUGGCUUAGAAAUGGAGAUGAGCACCAACCCCCAGAGUCAGACAUGACUGGACUUGACGUCAGGGGAAAACCUUUACCUUUAACUGUAGUUGUAUUUUUUGGAAUUUGCAAAAUAUUGCCUUAAGAUUGGAGAUAUUAAGCCUGCAUCUAUGUUGACUAAAAGCAACCUGGGCUUUUUUAAAAAUCGAGCCAGAUCCAGCGUUGUGUUGGAUAAAUCCGGACUCUGUCUGGAAUUCUGAAUCCAGCUGUUCUCAUGUCUCGGUGCUGCCUGGCUCGGCCUGACGGAGACAGAACCAGACCUGCCUGCAAACAAGUGACCUCCGCCGGGGCUUAGUAAACAAGUCACGCCAAAGCGCUGCCUCGGGUUCAGGGCCCUCGUUCCGGAGCGUCCACCUGCUCCCUGGAUGCCGGGAGCCCCGGUCAGGCACGCACGGCGCAUUAGCAAUGCAGCCCAUUUGCUAACACCCGGUUCCUCAUUCCCUCUCGUGCAGACCUGCUCUGGGCGACGAAUCCCACGGAGCGAAGAAGAAUCCCAAAAUAGCGACCUUUUUCUCCUUCUCCAGCCCUUUUAGACAAAGACGCCGUUCUUCCAAAUCAGGCCAAGUGUGUUUCCUCAUAUCAGGUAUCCAACAUAACCAUCUUCCCGCCAAGGAGUUCAAAGUUGUGUCUAAAGCCCCAUCAACACUGUCACAAAGUGUGGUAUUGCACUCGCAUUAACCUGGGCCGUCCAAUCAACGCACACGGGAAGCUAUGUGUAGACAAAAUGCAUCUCGGAGUCACAUGUUGUGGCUGUGUGGAAAUGCUCUAUGUCUCCUCUCUCACACACACAUUUGAUCCUCUUAUCAACAAUACCCGGGGCCCGGGGCUGUGGCGCAGACGGGAGAGCAAUGAGUCACUGACCAGGAGGUCAUAAGUUCGAGGCCCGCUCGGAGCUAUGUUUGUUUGUCUUUGUCCUGUGUUAAAAAGGCAGUGAAUGUUUGCCUAAUAUGUGUAAUGUGAUCCGCCCUGAGUCCCCUUCGGGGUGAGAAAGAAGGGCGGAAUAUAAAUGAUGUAAAUAAAUAAAUAAAUAAAAUACUGUGAAGGAGACUAAGCGAAAAGAUUAUCGAAUGGCUCAGCAAUACCAUAGGGCGCUUCCAGGCAGCACCAAAUUGCGGGGCAAAAAA
Molecule: long non-coding RNA, 1656 nt
Organism: Anolis carolinensis (green anole)
Lineage: Eukaryota; Metazoa; Chordata; Lepidosauria; Squamata; Anolidae
Exons: 3
Source: RefSeq, a predicted model, not a curated record